RNAcentral lists this long non-coding RNA (209 nucleotides) under Columba livia (rock pigeon). Its description in RNAcentral is "partial uncharacterized LOC102098506". Lineage: Eukaryota; Metazoa; Chordata; Aves; Columbiformes; Columbidae. The record is from RNAcentral.
CGGUUCCUGGUGUCCCCGGAGUGCCAGGAGUGCCAGGAGUGACACCUGGCGUCGGUGCCGUGCCUGGAUUGGUGCCAGGUGUGGGGGUACCUGGUACUGGCAUCCUCCCCGGGGCAGGCAUCCCCCAAGUAGGGGUUCAACCUGGUGCUAAACCUCCCAAAUUCGGUGUUCCCGGGGUUGGAGUCCCAGGAGUCGGUGGCAUCCCAGGU